Molecule: long non-coding RNA, 832 nt
Filed under: Lotus japonicus
Lineage: Eukaryota; Viridiplantae; Streptophyta; Magnoliopsida; Fabales; Fabaceae
Description: long non-coding RNA (LJAP_LNC001423)
Source: RNAcentral
UUGUCACUAUCAACAAGGAUGAACUGAAUCAUGUUGGCGCUGCCAUUUACCGCAAACCCACUUCCAAUGAAUGCUACGACAACCGGGAGAAAAACCAACCUCCAAUGUGCAAGGAUGAUGACGAUUCAAAUGCUGCCUGGUAAAUCUCUAUUAUUGGCAAAUGAACAAAAUGACUGUUUGACAUGUUCUAAAGACUAAAAUAAAAAUAGUACAUGUUUGGAAGUCCUUCCAAAAUUGAUUCUAAAAUCAAUUUCGAAAAUAAGUUUUUGUGUAACUUCUGAGAUUCAAAAAUUAAUUACGACAAAAAGGAAGUUGAUCCAAACAUGUUAGUAGUUGAUUUAGAAGGAAAAUACAUCAUAACAGUACUUCUAAUUUGGAUUGACCAAAUGUAUUGUAUUACAGGUAUGUACCUCUGCAAGCGUGCAUGCAUAGAGUGCCUGAAAACCAGGCUGAGAGAGGGGCCAAGUGGCCUGAAGUUUGGCCUCGUCGAGUGAAGAAAGCCCCGUAUUGGUUAAACAGCUCAGAGGUUGGGAUCUAUGGAAAACCAGCUCCUCAAGAUUUUACAGCAGACACUGAACGUUGGAGAAACAUUGUGGAUGAGUUGAGUAACAUUGGAAUAACUUGGUCUAAUGUGAGAAAUAUCAUGGACAUGCGAGCUGUCUAUGGGGGGUAUUGCCUUCAACUUGGAGAACAACUAUCAUAGAUUAGAACUUAAUAUGCAAUACUUAGUUUUUGUAAUACUUAGCCAUCUGCGUGCAGAUUUGCAGCAGCUCUGAGGGAACUUCCUGUUUGGGUAUUCAAUGUUGUGAACAUAGAUGCUCCGGAUACACUU